CAGUAGCCACGGGAAUACGAAGGGGGCUAGCGUUGCUCGGAAUCACUGGGCGUAAAGGGUGCGUAGGCGGGUCUUUAAGUCAGGGGUGAAAUCCUGGAGCUCAACUCCAGAACUGCCUUUGAUACUGAAGAUCUUGAGUUCGGGAGAGGUGAGUGGAACUGCGAGUGUAGAGGUGAAAUUCGUAGAUAUUCGCAAGAACACCAGUGGCGAAGGCGGCUCACUGGCCCGAUGCCGACGCUGAGGUGCGAAAGCGUGGGGAGCAAACAGGAUUAGAUACCCCUGUAGUCCCUGUCUCUUAUAA
This 301-nucleotide ribosomal RNA is filed under the name uncultured bacterium. RNAcentral describes it as "partial 16S ribosomal RNA". It matches the Rfam family "Bacterial small subunit ribosomal RNA", at positions 509 to 809 of the family's 1533-position model. The record is from RNAcentral.